Long non-coding RNA from Nicotiana attenuata, 739 nucleotides. RefSeq lists it as uncharacterized. The record is from RefSeq and is a predicted model, not a curated record. The transcript is spliced from 2 exons. Lineage: Eukaryota; Viridiplantae; Streptophyta; Magnoliopsida; Solanales; Solanaceae.
GCAUAGCUUGAUUUUCAAGUAUGGAUUUCCAAUUCCAUUCUUAUAAACCUAAGUUUUUCUUGUAAACUAAAUAUACUUAUCUCCAUUUUUCAUCUGAAUUUUCUUUGCUCUUUCCUUCUUUGAAACUAAAGUUCCUCCAAUGGAAAACAGUUAUAGAACAUUAUUUCUUCUUAUUUUAGCCUUAUUUUUCUCUCAUUUAUUCAUGGUUUCUGCUAGGCCAUUUUCACAUCAAUAUUCAAGAAGAUUAAUGGUUUCUUUUACUUCAAUUUCUACUAAUAUUGGCAAAGUAAAUGGAGCAAUUGUAGAGCAUGAGAAAGCUGUGGAAAAUGGUUUAAGGAAAAGGCCUCGAAGUUCUUCAAAUCCUAUUGGAAAUAAAUUUUCCUCUUUUACUAGAAGGGGAGUCUGGACGUAACUGGUAAAGUUACUGGCAUGUGACCAGGAGGUCACGAGUUCGAGCCGUGGAAACAGCCUUUUGCAGAAAUGCAGGGUAAGGCUGCGUACAAUAGAUCCUUGUGGUCCGACUCUUCCCCGGACCCUGCGCAUAGCGGUUGUGCAUCAGGCUACCCUUUUUUUUCUUCUUUUACUAGCUAGGAAGGAUAACAUUGGGUGGUAGUGUUGAUAUAUUUAUUUAUUGAAUUUAGCUUAUAUAUAGUGAUGGUGUAAUAUUUUUUUACAUUAUCAGUGUAAUUUAACAUGUUGUAGAAAUUUGUCUGUCUUAUCUAUCGGAACUAAUUUUACU